UUAGAAGUAGUUUAUAAAAAAUAUUAAUUUGUGGAAUUAAAGAAGAGAAAAAAUUUUUCUUUUAAA
Molecule: transfer RNA, 66 nt
Filed under: Vermiviatum covidum
Lineage: Eukaryota; Metazoa; Platyhelminthes; Tricladida; Geoplanidae
Description: tRNA-His
Source: RNAcentral